UACGGGGGGGGCAAGCGUUGUUCGGAAUUACUGGGCGUAAAGGGCUCGUAGGCGGCCAACUAAGUCGGAUGUGAAAUCCCCAGGCUUAACCGGGGAACUGCGUCUGAUACUGGAUGGCUUGAGUUUGGGAGAGGGAUGCGGAAUUCCAGGUGUAGCGGUGAAAUGCGUAGAUAUCUGGAGGAACACCGGUGGCGAAGGCGGCAUCCUGGACCAACACUGACGCUGAGUGAGCGAAAGCCAGGGGAGCAAACGGG
RNAcentral lists this ribosomal RNA (254 nucleotides) under uncultured bacterium. RNAcentral describes it as "partial 16S ribosomal RNA". It matches the Rfam family "Bacterial small subunit ribosomal RNA", at positions 524 to 776 of the family's 1533-position model. The record is from RNAcentral.